This 377-nucleotide unclassified non-coding RNA is filed under the name Hevea brasiliensis (rubber tree). Lineage: Eukaryota; Viridiplantae; Streptophyta; Magnoliopsida; Malpighiales; Euphorbiaceae. The record is from RNAcentral.
CUUUAUUUUCUGAACCAUAAAAAAAGAAAAAAAAACUCCUCUUCAGUGCAGUCUUCUCUACAGAAUCAAAACCAGGCUGCUACUGAAACCCCUAUCUACAUUUCAUUUCUUGCGAACCUGAAUCCUUUCCUCUAUAAGACCCUAAAGGAGGAGGAUUGGCCUGCAAUUUCUCCGAUCCGGUUGUCCGCUCAAUGUUCAACACCGGGAGCAACUCUCCCCAUGGAAUUCCUCUUUCCAGCGGCGGUGGAGGAUUCUGGUGGGCAUUAGCAGCUCCUAACUCUACAACAGCUUUAGCCGUCACGGCCUUGGCUGGAAUCGCCGUUUUUGUCACUGUAUUCUGCGCGACCAGUUGGUAAUCAGUGAAGGGAAAAAAAAAA